AGGUUCGUGCGAGUGGGCGUGGUC
This 24-nucleotide non-coding RNA is filed under the name Arabidopsis thaliana (thale cress). Lineage: Eukaryota; Viridiplantae; Streptophyta; Magnoliopsida; Brassicales; Brassicaceae. The record is from RNAcentral.